RNAcentral lists this ribosomal RNA (272 nucleotides) under uncultured bacterium. RNAcentral describes it as "partial 16S ribosomal RNA". It matches the Rfam family "Bacterial small subunit ribosomal RNA", at positions 524 to 794 of the family's 1533-position model. The record is from RNAcentral.
UACAGGGGGUGCGAGCGUUAAUCGGAAUUACUGGGCGUAAAGCGCGCGUAGGCGGUUUUGUAAGUCGGAUGUGAAAGCCCCGGGCUUAACCUGGGAACUGCAUUCGAGACUGCAUGACUGGAGUAUUGGAGAGGGCAGUGGAAUUUCCGGUGUAGCGGUGAAAUGCGUAGAUAUCGGAAGGAACAUCAGUGGCGAAAGCGACUGCCUGGCCAAAUACUGACGCUCAUGUGCGAAAGCGUGGGGAGCAAAACAGGAUUAGAUACCCGUGUAGU